GAUUCCUACGGGAGGCAGCAGGCGCGCAAAUUACCCAUUUCCGACACGGAGAGGUAGUGACGAAAAAUAACAAUACAGGUCUCUUUCGAGGCCCUGUAAUUGGAAUGAGCGUAUCCUAAACCCAUGGGCGAGGACCCAUUGGAGGGCAAGUCUGGUGCCAGCAGCCGCGGUAAUAAU
This 177-nucleotide ribosomal RNA is filed under the name uncultured bacterium. RNAcentral describes it as "partial 16S ribosomal RNA". It matches the Rfam family "Eukaryotic small subunit ribosomal RNA", at positions 411 to 586 of the family's 1831-position model. The record is from RNAcentral.